UGUAUAGUGAAAACAAUCUUGCAUCAAAUGUUUUAUGCUUUGUGUAGAACAUUUUGUUGAAUUGCACUGGUCAUAUGAUAUCUUUUUAGUUGUCGGGGGAACUGUUCUUCAUAAUGUCUAGGACUAAAUGAGAUGUAAGGAUCCAUGACUUUAUUCAAAACGUUUCACGCAGUAUGAUAAAAUAUUACUUCUAUUUUCCUCUUUUCAUGAGCUUUUGAGAGACUGAGAGUCUGAAACAUUCAUGUGUCCCGAAAAAAAUGUAUCGUGAAAACAAUCUUUCUAAACAUGGCUGAAGCUUGAAAAUUUCGUCUGCCACAGGCUGAGGUUAAAAAUCUUUCAUAUUGUUUCUGAAUAUGACAUAACACUGAAUAAUUUUGCCUCUGUUGAAUCUGCAGAAGCGUUUAGAGUCCCUAACAGAAGCAGAGCUACAAGCACUGCUUGAAGAAGUUGAGGAAGAGAAGAGACGCUAGCUAGUGGUGCGCAGGUGAACAGAAGUAGCUUGUUUGUAUAUAUAUAUACACUGAAAUUUUGCCAAACUCAUUGAAACAGAAAUUUGAAUCUAUAUGGAAAUGGAAACUAGUUCAGAGAGGUUUUAGCUAUGUUUUCUUCAGUUUACUCACGGACAAAGGGACGAGAGUUCAAAAUUCUUAAGAUGUGUUUAUAAUAGAAGUCAUAAACGAGGAAAAUUGUGUUUCUGAUACUGAUAAAGAUCAUGGAAAGUGGUAGAGUUGACAAUCGUAAUCGUGGAUAAAGCUAUCAUUUGAUGUUUCUUAAUCAUUGAAACAUGAAAUUGGAUGGAAAUGACGACAUUUCACGUAACCUGCAGGGAUGGGGCGAACUUGUUUUUUUAACAGCUAAUGCUGAUAAGGUUGAUCACUUUAACUUAUUUAAUUAAUACGAAAGCUAUAUUGUUAAAUUCACACAUUUAAUUUUGGAAAAUUCUCUGUUUCUUUUUA
Non-coding RNA from Vigna umbellata (rice bean), 956 nucleotides. NCBI's taxonomy places the organism in Eukaryota, Viridiplantae, Streptophyta, Magnoliopsida, Fabales, Fabaceae. The record is from RefSeq and is a predicted model, not a curated record.